Molecule: ribosomal RNA, 506 nt
Filed under: uncultured bacterium
Lineage: Bacteria
Description: partial 16S ribosomal RNA
Rfam family: Bacterial small subunit ribosomal RNA
Source: RNAcentral
GAUGAACGCUAGCUACAGGCUUAACACAUGCAAGUCGAGGGGUAACGAGAGGAAAGCUUGCUUUCCUUGUUGACGACCGGCGCACGGGUGAGUAACGCGUAUCCAACCUGCCCCCAACUAGGGAAUAACCUUGCGAAAGUAAGACUAAUACCCUAUAAUUUCCUCAGAUGUCAUCUGACGAGGAAUAAAGAUUUAUCGGUUGUGGAUGGGGAUGCGUCUGAUUAGCUUGUUGGCGGGGUAACGGCCCACCAAGGCAACGAUCAGAAGGGGUUCUGGUAGGAAGGUCCCCCACAUUGGGACUGAGACACGGUCCAAACUCCUACGGGAGGCAGCAGUGGGGAAUAUUGGUCAAUGUGCCGAAGCCUUAACCAGCCAAGUAGCGUGCAGGAUGACGGCCCUAUGGGUUGUAAACUGCUUUUAUACAGGAAUAAAGUUAGCCACGUGUGGUUAUUUGUAGGUACUGUAUGAAUAAGGACCGGCUAAUUCCGUGCCAGCCGCCGCAGUAA